Molecule: ribosomal RNA, 253 nt
Filed under: uncultured bacterium
Lineage: Bacteria
Description: partial 16S ribosomal RNA
Rfam family: Bacterial small subunit ribosomal RNA
Source: RNAcentral
UACGUAGGUGACAAGCGUUGUCCGGAUUUACUGGGCGUAAAGAGCGCGCAGGCGGUCGUUCAAGUCGAGUGUGAAAGCCCCCGGCUCAACUGGGGAGGGUCAUUCGAUACUGAUCGACUCGAAGGCAGGAGAGGGAAGUGGAAUUCCCGGUGUAGUGGUGAAAUGCGUAGAUAUCGGGAGGAACACCUGCGGCGAAGGCGGCUUCCUGGACCGCAACUGACGCUGAGGCGCGAAAGCGUGGGGAGCAAACAGG